This 85-nucleotide transfer RNA is filed under the name Felis catus (domestic cat). It matches the Rfam family "tRNA". Rfam says of the family: Transfer RNA (tRNA) molecules are approximately 80 nucleotides in length. Their secondary structure includes four short double-helical elements and three loops (D, anti-codon, and T loops). Further hydrogen bonds mediate the characteristic L-shaped molecular structure. tRNAs have two regions of fundamental functional importance: the anti-codon, which is responsible for specific mRNA codon recognition, and the 3' end, to which the tRNAs corresponding amino acid is attached (by aminoacyl-tRNA synthetases). tRNAs cope with the degeneracy of the genetic code in two manners: having more than one tRNA (with a specific anti-codon) for a particular amino acid; and 'wobble' base-pairing, i.e. permitting non-standard base-pairing at the 3rd anti-codon position. Lineage: Eukaryota; Metazoa; Chordata; Mammalia; Carnivora; Felidae. The record is from Rfam by way of RNAcentral.
GCCUGGGUGGCUCAGUCAGUUAAGCAUCCGACUUUGGCUCAGGUCAUGAUCUCAUGGUUUGUGGGUUCAAGCCCCACGCCAGGCU